This is a long non-coding RNA of Rhagoletis pomonella (apple maggot), 1770 nucleotides long. RefSeq lists it as uncharacterized. The record is from RefSeq and is a predicted model, not a curated record. Lineage: Eukaryota; Metazoa; Arthropoda; Insecta; Diptera; Tephritidae. The transcript is spliced from 3 exons.
CCGGGAUCGGAAAAUCCUUGUCUCUGGGCCACCCACCCGUGUCUCAUGCUUCAAUGGGAAACUCGGGAGAUUAGUACUUGCUUCCGCCACAGGUUCAACUAUUUCGCCUUCUUCGAUGUCACGGCGCAGCGAUUGGGAAUUCGUUCCGGAGUCCGAGGCGUAAAUCGACAGAACGUUUUCUCGUUCCUCCUCGCUGGCGACCUGCUGGCUCCAAGGUCUUCGGUCAAUGGGCUCUUCGUCGAUGUGCAAUGUGGUAUGGUGCUUAUCGUGGCAUCGACGGCAUCGAUCCCGGCUGGUGCACCUUUGUACGCGAUGCGUCAUUGAUAGGCAAUUGCUGCAAAACCGCCCGAGCAGAGACUCUCGCAAUCGUUCUUCCGGGGCCUUUGCCCGAUAUACCGGGCAUAAUCUGAUCGGGUGCUUACCAUCGCAAAGUCGGCACGCUAUCGGAUAACGAUGAGUGCGGCGUUCCGCUUUCUUUCUUAGCAUUGUAUAGCGAGUCAUUAUUACCUGAAAAUGGUUAUUUUGUCGAUGUUUCGAUCGUAAAGUCAUUGCUAUUAUUGAUAUUUAUUCUUAAUAUCAUGGUACUUAUGGUUGGGUGGCGAGAAUUACAUCAUAUAAUUAUAGAACCGUGAAUUGGCAUAUAUUACUUGCGCGCUCUAAACCCACGUUGGUGUUGGUCUAUGAUUGACGUGUUCAAUUGGUCGUGUAAGGGGUGCAUAAUAUUGCAAUAUUAUCCGAGCAUAUGAAGAUUGUGUUUGCUCCUUUAUAUACAUCUAGCGAUAAAUUUUUAUCGAUUUUGAAAGUUACACCCAUCAGUGAGCUGUCAUACUCUAGUAAGAUACACGGACUAUUAAUAUUGUAAACAAAGCGUAUUAACUACAAUUCAUAGUGAUAAGGCCAUGCUUCUGCGAUUGAGCAUAGUUAUUACUGGUUUCACUGGGUGAUUAUGGUGAGGUUCUUCUCACCUUGGCCUGCCACCCCAAAAAAAAAGAGAAAGAGAAAAAAAAAAACUAAAACCAAAAAAAGUAUAUUAAAAAUUACGUUUAUUAAAAGGAAUGCAUGAGGUUUUAUUCAAUUUGCAUGUAUUUCAUGCAAAUAUUUUCCUCGGAUUAACCUUGUAGCAAGUGAGCAGUAGAUGUCGCCGUUAAAAAGAUGCAUGUUGCCACAUACUCUAGGGGCGAGAAAUUUUACACUAAUAUCGUAAACUUCUGUACCUAACUUGGCAACAUCCUUCGAAUGAAAGGAAAUGUCAUUCAUAAUUUUCCACGAGGCCAACCGGUCCCAAACGAACAAAGGCUAAAAAGUACGUUUUACCCCUUCUCAAAAGAAAAACAGCAGAUCGAAUUCCUCAGCAAUGAGCGUAGUUAAAUAUAUUGGUCGUACAACUGAUUUUCGCGGUAAGACACUGUGGGAGAUUGUGGGAAAUCUGCGGGACUUUGGUGUUGGCCGGCUCGUAAUACGUAACAAAUUCCAACGAUAUGAGGAGCCCUGCUAUAUGCGUAUACUUAAGGUGGAAGUUACUCCACAUGAUCCUGAAAAGGACCCUAUUCGUACAGGUCCCAAACGAACAAAGGCCAAAAAGUGGAGCUACGAAAAGGUUUGCACUCUUCCAAAAAAUGAGAUUAAACGCGCAAAAUUUCGGUAUAGUUGGUCGUUCUUUGGCAAAACUAGUUAUUUAUAUACCUGCUGUUUUAAAUUACUAAUUAUUUACGUAUUAAUUACACGUAAGAAAUGCAGUGUUUACAAAAAUAUUGCGGCUCGCCGAACAGA